RNAcentral lists this ribosomal RNA (413 nucleotides) under uncultured microorganism. Its description in RNAcentral is "bacterial SSU rRNA". It matches the Rfam family "Archaeal small subunit ribosomal RNA", at positions 330 to 745 of the family's 1478-position model. The record is from RNAcentral.
GCGCAGCAGGCGCGAAACUUUACAAUGCGGGAAACCGCGAUAAGGGGACACCGAGUGCCAGCAUAUUAUGUUGGCUGUCCACAUGUGUAAACGGCAUGUGUUAGCAAGGGCCGGGCAAGACCGGUGCCAGCCGCCGCGGUAACACCGGCGGCCCGAGUGGUAAUCACUUUUAUUGGGUCUAAAGGGUCCGUAGCCGGUUUGAUCAGUUCUUCGGGAAAUCUGACAGCUCAACUGUUAGGCUUCCGGGGAAUACUGUCAGACUUGGGACCGGGAGAGGUAAGAGGUACUACAGGGGUAGGAGUGAAAUCUUGUAAUCCCUGUGGGACCACCAGUGGCGAAGGCGUCUUACCAGAACGGGUCCGACGGUGAGGGACGAAAGCUGGGGGCACGAACCGGAUUAGAUACCCCGUAGU